UAUUAUUUUAUGUGUAAAUUUUAUAGGCUUGAGUAGUAUUAGUUUAGUUCUUGAAACUCAAAGAAUUUGGCGGUUUUUUAGUCUUUUUAGAGGAAUCUGUCCUGUAAUCGAUAAUACACGAUUAGUUGUACUUGAUUUUGUUAUCAAUUUGUAUAUCGCCGUUAUAAGAUUAUCUUUAUGAUUUAGAGAGUAUAUAAUUUUCUAUAUUUCAUAUUAGAAAGUAUAUCAGGUCAAGGUGCAGUUUAUGAUCAAGUAGAGAUGGAUUACAAUAGUAAUAACUAUUAUGGAUUAAUAUAUUUUAAUUUAUUAUGAAGGUGGAUUUAAUUGUAAGUUUAUUUUAAAUUUUAAGCUGAUUGUGGCUCUAAAAUAUGCACACAUCGCCCGUCGCUCUCGUUUUUUAAAUGAG
RNAcentral lists this ribosomal RNA (406 nucleotides) under Arilpa gidya. RNAcentral's name for it is "partial 12S ribosomal RNA". Lineage: Eukaryota; Metazoa; Arthropoda; Insecta; Orthoptera; Gryllidae. The record is from RNAcentral.